Molecule: ribosomal RNA, 406 nt
Filed under: uncultured prokaryote
Also listed under: 1 other name
Description: bacterial SSU rRNA
Rfam family: Bacterial small subunit ribosomal RNA
Source: RNAcentral
UGGGGAAUAUUGGGCAAUGGGGGAAACCCUGACCCAGCAACGCCGCGUGAAGGAAGAAGGCUUUCGGGUUGUAAACUUCUUUUAAGAGGGACGAAGAAGUGACGGUACCUCUUGAAUAAGCCACGGCUAACUACGUGCCAGCAGCCGCGGUAAUACGUAGGUGGCAAGCGUUGUCCGGAUUUACUGGGUGUAAAGGGCGCGUAGGCGGGACUGUAAGUCAGAUGUGAAAUCUGGGGGCUUAACCCUCAAACUGCAUUUGAAACUGUGGUUCUUGAGUAUCGGAGAGGCAGGCGGAAUUCCCAGUGUAGCGGUGAAAUGCGUAGAUAUUGGGAGGAACACCAGUGGCGAAGGCGGCCUGCUGGACGACAACUGACGCUGAGGCGCGAAAGCGUGGGGAGCAAACAGG